GUCCACGCCGUAAACGAUGAAUACUAGGUGUCGGGUGUCAAAGCUCGGUGCCGCAGCUAACGCAUUAAGUAUUCCGCCUGGGGAGUACGCACGCAAGUGUGAAACUCAAAGGAAUUGACGGGGACCCCGCACAAGCAGCGGAGCAUGUGGUUUAAUUCGAAGCAACGCGAAGAACCUUACCAGGUCUUGACAUCCUUCUGACCGACUCUUAGCCGAGUCUUCCCUUCGGGGCAGAAGAGACAGGUGGUGCAUGGUUGUCGU
This 261-nucleotide ribosomal RNA is filed under the name uncultured bacterium. RNAcentral's name for it is "partial 16S ribosomal RNA". It matches the Rfam family "Bacterial small subunit ribosomal RNA", at positions 793 to 1055 of the family's 1533-position model. The record is from RNAcentral.